RNAcentral lists this ribosomal RNA (812 nucleotides) under uncultured bacterium. Its description in RNAcentral is "bacterial SSU rRNA". It matches the Rfam family "Bacterial small subunit ribosomal RNA", at positions 8 to 796 of the family's 1533-position model. The record is from RNAcentral.
AGAGUUUGAUCAUGGCUCAGAACGAACGCUGGCGGCGUGGAUAAGACAUGCAAGUCGAACGGGAACUUUCGUUGUAGCAAUACAGUGGAAGUUCUAGUGGCGAACGGGUGCGUAACACGUGGGCAAUCUACCGAGAAGUGGGGGAUAGCUCGCCGAAAGGCGAAUUAAUACCGCACGUGAUCAGAGGCGACAUCGUCUCGAAAUCAAAGCCGGGGGCAACCUGGCGCUUUUUUGUGGGGCCCGCGGCCUAUCAGCUUGUUGGUGAGGUAACGGCUCACCAAGGCUAUGACGGGUAGCUGGUCUGAGAGGACGACCAGUCACACUGGGACUGAGACACGGCCCAGACACCUACGGGUGGCAGCAGUCGAGAAUUUUUCUCAGUGGGGGAAACCCUGAAGGAGCGACGCCGCGUGGAGGAUGAAGGUCUUCGGGUUGUAAACUCCUGUCAUUUGGGAACAAGUGCCGGUACGUAACUGCUACCGGCUUGAUAGUACCAGAAGAGGAAGGGACGGCUAACUCUGUGCCAGCAGCCGCGGUAAUACAGAGGUCUCAAGCGUUGUUCGGAUUCAUUGGGCGUAAAGGGUGUGUAGGUGGCGCCGUAAGUGGGGUGUGAAAUUUCGGAGCUUAACUCCGAAACUGCAUUCCAUACUGCGGUGCUUGAGGACUGGAGAGGAGACUGGAGUUUACGGUGUAGCAGUGAAAUGCGUAGAUAUCGUAAGGAAGACCAGUGGCGAAGGCGGGUCUCUGGACAGUUCCUGACACUGAGACACGAAGGCCAGGGGAGCAAACGGGAUUAGAUACCCUAGUAGUCC